RNAcentral lists this unclassified non-coding RNA (335 nucleotides) under soil metagenome. RNAcentral describes it as "partial contains 5.8S ribosomal RNA, internal transcribed spacer 2, and large subunit ribosomal RNA". The stretch from base 1 to 120 matches the Rfam family "5.8S ribosomal RNA", at positions 35 to 154 of the family's 154-position model. The record is from RNAcentral.
GAUGAAGAACGUAGCGAAAUGCGAUAAGUAAUGUGAAUUGCAGAAUUCAGUGAAUCAUCGAAUCUUUGAACGCACAUUGCGCCCGCCAGUAUUCUGGCGGGCAUGCCUGUUCGAGCGUCAUUUCAACCAUCAAGCCCCCGGCUUGUGUUGGGGACCUGCGGCUGCCGCAGGCCCUGAAAACCAGUGGCGGGCUCGCUAGUCACUCCGAGCGUAGUAAUACAUCUCGCUCAGGGCGUGCUGCGGGUUCCGGCCGUUCAAAGCCUUAUUUUACCCAAGGUUGACCUCGGAUCAGGUAGGAAGACCCGCUGAACUUAAGCAUAUCAAUAAGCGGAGGA